UUAUAUGUUUGGUUCUUUGAGAUUUUAAAAUUAUUUCUAUAUAAUAUUGUAUUUAAAUUUUUUCAGAUCAAUUUACAAGCUUUGGACUUUCAGAAUUUCGUCCCAUAGAUUCCUUUAACUAACUAUUAUUUAAUAAUUGUGUGGAACACUAAUUUUUAGCAGAAGGAGGUUCAUUGAACUAACAAAGUUAAAUGCCAAAACAUAGCUGAUAUAAGAAUCUUUUGUACUCUUUUAAAAGUAUAAGAACAAAAUAGACCAUUUUAAAAUUCUUUUAAUAGAGACACCAGAACAACUU
Cucurbita moschata (crookneck pumpkin) is the source of this 295-nucleotide long non-coding RNA. RefSeq lists it as uncharacterized. The record is from RefSeq and is a predicted model, not a curated record. NCBI's taxonomy places the organism in Eukaryota, Viridiplantae, Streptophyta, Magnoliopsida, Cucurbitales, Cucurbitaceae. The transcript is spliced from 2 exons.